CGGACGGGUGAGUAAUGUCUGGGAAACUGCCCGAUGGAGGGGGAUAACUACUGGAAACGGUAGCUAAUACCGCAUAACGUCGCAAGACCAAAGAGGGGGACCUUAGGGCCUCUUGCCAUCGGAUGUGCCCAGAUGGGAUUAGCUAGUAGGUGGGGUAAUGGCUCACCUAGGCGACGAUCCCUAGCUGGUCCGAGAGGAUGACCAGCCACACUGGAACUGAGACACGGUCCAG
RNAcentral lists this ribosomal RNA (232 nucleotides) under uncultured bacterium. Its description in RNAcentral is "partial 16S ribosomal RNA". It matches the Rfam family "Bacterial small subunit ribosomal RNA", at positions 99 to 334 of the family's 1533-position model. The record is from RNAcentral.